RNAcentral lists this ribosomal RNA (459 nucleotides) under uncultured bacterium. RNAcentral describes it as "partial 16S ribosomal RNA". It matches the Rfam family "Bacterial small subunit ribosomal RNA", at positions 338 to 795 of the family's 1533-position model. The record is from RNAcentral.
CCUACGGGAGGCAGCAGUGAGGAAUAUUGGUCAAUGGCCGGAAGGCUGAACCAGCCAUGCCGCGUGAAGGUCAGUGCCCUAUGGGCGGUAAACUUCUUUUGUGCGGGAGCACUAAUGGUCACGUGUGGCCAGACGAGAGUACCGUACGAAUAAGCAUCGGCUAACUCCGUGACAGCAGCCGCGGUAAUACGGGGGAUGCAAGCGUGAUCCGGAUUUAUUGGGUGUAAAGGGGGCGCAGACGGCGAUGCAAGCCAGGAGUGACAGCCCGGGGCCCAACCCCGGGACUGCUCUUGGAACGGCGUGGCUGGAGUGCAGGAGGGGCAGGCGGAAUUCCUGGUGUAGCGGUGAAAUGCGUAGAUAUCAGGAGGAACACCGGGGGCGAAGGCGGCCUGCUGGACUGCAACUGACGUUGAGGCCCGAAAGCGUGGGGAGCAAACAGGAUUAGAUACCCGAGUAGUC